RNAcentral lists this ribosomal RNA (389 nucleotides) under Acinetobacter baumannii. RNAcentral's name for it is "partial 23S ribosomal RNA". It matches the Rfam family "Bacterial large subunit ribosomal RNA", at positions 2622 to 2925 of the family's 2925-position model. The record is from RNAcentral. Lineage: Bacteria; Pseudomonadati; Pseudomonadota; Gammaproteobacteria; Moraxellales; Moraxellaceae.
UGAGACAGUUCGGUCCAUAUCCGGUGUGGGCGUUAGAGCAUUGAGAGGACCUUUCCCUAGUACGAGAGGACCGGGAAGGACGCACCUCUGGUGUACCAGUUAUCGUGCCCACGGUAAACGCUGGGUAGCCAAGUGCGGAGCGGAUAACUGCUGAAAGCAUCUAAGUAGUAAGCCCACCCCAAGAUGAGUGCUCUCCUAUUCCGACUUCCCCAGAGCCUCCGGUAGCACAGCCGAGACAGCAACGGGUUCUCCACCCAUACGGGGAUGGAGCGACAGAAGUAUGGAAAUAGGAUAAGGUAGCGGCGAGACGAGCCGUUUAAAUAGGUGUCAAGUGGAAGUGCAGUGAUGUAUGCAGCUGAGGCAUCCUAACAGAACGAAAGACUUGAACC